ACCCGGUCCAUCGGUUCAAUUGGCCUUGGGCCACGCCGCUCCAUUUCCCAAUUGGUCGACGGCCGAGUUGCUAUUUAAGCGUCCGAACCGUGUCUUCUCGAGUGUUUUGCCUUCUCAUCAGAGAAGCUGAGCGGAACCAAAGCCCUCCUCGGGCGAUCGCCUCAAGAACCCUUGUGAAGCGCCAAACCCAACCCUCUCCCGUGGUUCCGCCUCGGGAGGAGAUCGAUGGCGGUCUCCGCAAUGCUUCGAGCUCUGAGACGGCACGAUCUGUCGCCGCUGCCCGCUCUGUUCUCUCGCCUCAGAUUCUUAUCUGGCAAUGCAAGCAUGCAGUUGGGUGCUUCUCGUCUUGGUCACAGAGGGGCUAGUUUGGUUAGACCCUUCAGCUCAAAGCCAGCAGGAAAUGAUAUAAUUGGAAUUGAUCUUGGAACUACAAAUUCUUGUGUUGCAGUUAUGGAGGGAAAGAAUGCUAAAGUUAUAGAAAACUCAGAAGGAGAUCGUACCACGCCACCUGUUGUAGCUUUUAAUCAGAAGGGAGAACUACCUGUUGGAACUCCAUCAAAACGUCAGGCAGUGACCAAUCCUACAAACACUCUUUUUGGGACCAAGGGACUGAUAGGCCGUCUCUUUGAUGAUCCUCAGGCACAGAAAGAGAUGAAGAUGGUUCCUUUUAAGAUCGUGAGGGCACCUAAUGGGGAUGCAUGGUUGAAGCCAACGGUCGGCAGUAUUCGCCCAGCCAGAUCGGUGCAUUUGUUUUGACAAAGAUGAAAGAAACUGCUGAAUCUUAUCUUGGGAAGUCCGUGUCUAAGGCAGUUAUCACAGUUCCUGCAUAUUUUAAUGACGCGCAACGUCAGGCUACAAAGGAUGCAGGGAGAAUUUCUGGUGUUGAUGUGCAAAGAAUUAUCAACGAACCAACUGAGCUGCACUUACUGACUGGCUGAACAACAAGGAGGGUCUCAUUGCAGUUUUUGAUCUUGGUGGUGGUAUAUUUGAUGUUUCAAUAUUAGAGAUAUCAAAUGGGGUAUUUGAGGUCAAGGCAACAAAUGGUGACACUUUCUUGGGUGGGGAAGAUUUUGACAACGCAUUGGUAGAAUUCUUGGUUGAUGAGUUCAAGAGAACAGAGGGAAUAGAUCUUUCAAAGGACAGGCUGGCUCUGCAGAGGCUUCGAGAAGCAGCUGAGAAGGUUAAGAUUGAAUUGUCAUCAACAUCUCAGACUGAUAUCAAUCUUCCAUUUAUAACAGCUGAUGCUUCAGGAGCAAAACAUAUGAAUAUCACUCUGACCAGAUCAAAAUUUGAGACUUUGGUUAAUCACUUGAUCGGAAGAACAAUAAAUCCCUGUAAAAGCUGUCUGAAGGAUGCAAGCAUAAGUACCAAGGAUCUUGAUGACGUUCUUGUUGGUGGAAUGACUAGAGUUCCAAAAGUUCAGGAAAUAGUUUUGGAAAUCUUUGGAAAGAUUCCAACCAAGGGAGUAAAUCCAGAUGAAGUUGUUGCAAUGGGUGCUGCUAUCCAGGGUGGUAUUCUCCGUGGAGAUGUUAAAGGGCUGCUCCUCUUAGAUAUCACUCCCUUAUCGCUAGGUAAUGAGACACUUGGUGGUAUCUUUACGAGACUGAUCAACAGGAACACUAUCAUUCCCACGAAGAAGAGUCAGGUAAGGUUCAGUUCAAAUAAUCAAUAAUCAUUUCAUCUUAGUCAACUUGAAGAGACUGACACAGAUUUUUAACUCGCAUUUUCUCUGCUGAAUGUUGUAUACUCUAUAUCAAUGUAUAUUUUUCCUAUAUUUUGGUAAUUCAUUAUUUCGGGUAUUGUGACAGUCUCUGCUAAAGACAAAGCCACUGGAAAGGAGCAGCAAAUCACUAUUCGCUCAUCAGGUGGCCUCUCUGAGGAUGAGAUUGAGACGAUGGUCAAGGAGGCCGAGCUGCAUGCUCAAGAACAGUGCUGACACCACAAUUUACAGUAUUGAAAAGAACUUAAGCGAAUACAAGGAUAAAAUUCCGGCCAAGGUAGCUUCUGACCUACGCAAAGAGAUGGCAGGAGACAAAAUCGACAGCAUCAAGGCCAAGCUUGAUGCAGCAAACAAGGCAGGAAGUUCGGGCGGGUCAUCAUCUUCUGGUGGUUCUCAGGGUGGCGACCGGGUUCCGGAGGCAGACUACGAAGAGGUCAAGAAGUAGGGUAUCUGACAGAUGAUUACAGCCCUACUAUAGCAAGUCAACUCAUCAUGUGUGGGAGUUACUAUCACCCUCAUCUAAUUUCGGACUCUUUUCUUUCGUGAAAUAAGAAACAACGGUUUCUACUAGAUAGUACUAACUCCUGUCGCUUGAUCAUUCUCCUCUCCAGGUAAAUCAAGUGCCACAGGGUUUUGUUGUCGCGUUGGAUUCCAAGCAUUUCUGGUGCUUCCUACGGAGAGCUGAUCAAACCUGCUGUCCCCCGAAUAGGAGCAAAUUGUGGACAUUUCCCUGUCAAAGACGCAGACUUAUUUGAUUCCAAGAUCAGGCACUAUCCUUUGUCGAAAAAUUCUUGUAGUAUGUAAUCAUAUGAGCGUUUGUUCUUGUUCAUACAACUUGUCUCUUGAUAUCAGACACUUGAAUUCUUCUCGUAUGUAUUCACUGUGAGUAUUAUUCGAUCUCCAAGUCCCAAGAACUGCUCUCAUCUCUACACUGGUCGACCACCAUCAAGACUCACAAAAGUUAACGUGCCUUGUAACAAAACAUGCAAAGACUAUAUGUAUCGCUGAUAUCUGUAGAGCCCUCCUGAGAGAAAAAACAAUGCAGAUUGAUCUUGUAUGGAUAGAUUCAUAACCUAGAUGAAAUGAUGUGGAUGCUUGUGGUUGUCUCGUUAGGAACAGAAGAGGUUUGAUCCAGUUGGUGAAACAGUGCAGUAACAAAAGCCAUGAGAUUCUUUCGAGUCUAAAAGGCAAGUGCAUGGUGCUGUUGUUAGAUAUGUUUGUGAUCAUAGGAAUA
Molecule: RNA transcript, 2954 nt
Organism: Musa acuminata AAA Group (dessert banana)
Lineage: Eukaryota; Viridiplantae; Streptophyta; Magnoliopsida; Zingiberales; Musaceae
Gene name: heat shock 70 kDa protein, mitochondrial-like
Exons: 6
Source: RefSeq, a predicted model, not a curated record